Molecule: RNA transcript, 1913 nt
Organism: Chenopodium quinoa (quinoa)
Lineage: Eukaryota; Viridiplantae; Streptophyta; Magnoliopsida; Caryophyllales; Amaranthaceae
Exons: 6
Source: RefSeq, a predicted model, not a curated record
AUUAACAAGCUUUAGCAGCAAAACACAGCAUUACCUAUUUAUUCACUUCCGUGCUUGGGAUUCACUAGUGGUUCAUCUUACAUUCCUAGCUCCUCGCCAUUAAGAAUACUUAAUCCAUCACUAAACUCAUCUUCUUCAUCUACAUAUUAUUCCAAAUUGCAUUCAUUUGAACUCAUAUGAUUCUUGUUAUCUUCUUGUAAGUUAGGUCCAAAUUUUUGUGGCUGUGAAAAACUUUGUGCUUGCAAAAUCCUUGAAUGCACUUGUGAACUAGCCAUGUUAACAGGUUGUAUUUUUCGUCAUAGCACUAGUAGAAAAAACUAAAUAGGCACCCCCCUACGACAGCGGUUCAUGAAAACCGGUGCCAACUAAAAUGAGCGCCAAUUAAAAUUUCAGAGUUGGCACCAGUUAACCGUUGCCAAUUGUUUAAUUUUUUUAAAAAAAAAAAUUAAAAUAAAUAGGUUAGAGUUGGCAACGGUUUGAUUAUUUUUUUAAAAAAAAAAUAAAAAAUAAAAGGGUUAGAGUUGGCACCGGUUAACCGUUGCCAACUGAUUAUUUAAAAAAAAAAUAUUAAAAAAAAUCCUUCUUAAUUGCGUCCUCUCUCUUCUCUGCUCAAACCCUCCUUUCUCUAUCUUCAAUCUCUUGCCUCCUCUUGCUCUCUGUCAUUUUUUACUCCACCACCGCCCCACUAUCUCUUUCAUUCUUCUCUCUAUCUCUUUCAUUCCCAGAUCUUUCUUUCUUUCACUAUCUUUCUUCGUAGUAGGGGGGAAUUGAGGGUGACAGCGGUGGUGAAUGUUGUCACGACCAUCGUAAUUGGCGGCGGUGGUGCCUUCCCUUUGCAGCUCUGGUGGAUUUCUUCACGAAGGGAUUGAGUAUGAGGUCAUGGGCUCCAGCUAUACAUAUAAAACUACUGAUAGGUGGUGUUUGUGCCUAACAGGACACUAGUAUUGUUCUGUGCAAUGUAUGUGUGUGGGUUGGCAAUAGGCAGGGGUGUGGUAGUGUAUUUGCUUGGUGCUUGUUUGGGUUGUAAGUAAAAUGUAGUUAGUAAAAGCCAGGUCUAAGUGCAUAUGCAAGCAACCCUCAGGUGGAUGCUGCUAAUUCACUAGUUUCUCUCCUAGAGCAAGCAGAAGCUGUUGUCCUGUAUCAAGACUCAUGGUCAUGGUAUUUCUGAUUUUGUGGGUGAAACGGUCAAGGAAAAAGGUGGAACAAGUGUAAGAUUCAAAUUUCUGCUCCCGGGUUUAAUUGAAUCAUUUAAGCAAAUACCGGUUAGUCUUGAAGAGAAACUAGAAGCUCAAACUGCUACUAUUAUUGAUGCAAUUGAAAAUAAGCUAGGGAAUCAAGCUGUUGUGCUAGAAGAGAAACAACAAGGUGAGAAAGAAAGAACAAAAAAGGGGGAGAACAAGUGUCUGCCUAUUGCUCCUGAAAUUGAUCAUGGAGACAAUCAUGAAGGUUCUAAAAAAAGAAAACGGAGAAAAUCAAACAAGCUGCCGCCAAUCACUAAUGAAGUUGAAUGCGAAAACAAUGAAAGGUAUUCAAGAAUGUUCGUGAAAUUGUUAUACUUGCUGUCAAUCGGGCACAAAAGAAGAUCAGACUUUCUGAAUACGCAAAAUUUAAUAGAAUACUGAUUCCCAGAGGCAAUUUAGUUCCCUUUGAUGGUAAAAUUCAGGCUACAUUUAGGAUGCUCUAUUGCCAUUGAUGGACGCUGCAUUUCUCUUUUGCGCUGCUGCUGUUUAGCUACUGUGAUGCUGUUGUUCUGCUACUGGGCUGCUGCUGUUCUACUAGUGAUUGUAGGAAGUUGUUGCUGCUCUUGAUUGUUAAUAUAAUUCAGUUGUAUUUUAUUCCUUUUUUUUUUUGCAAGUGUAAAAUUAUAGGUUAUUAAUGAAAAUUAUGAGUUUUAAGUAUAUUAUGUAUAUAUA